UACGUAGGGGGCUAGCGUUGUCCGGAAUCAUUGGGCGUAAAGCGCGCGUAGGCGGCCCGGUAAGUCCGCUGUAAAAGUCAAAGGCUCAACCUUUGAAUGUCAGUGGAUACUGUCGGGCUAGAGUCCGGAAGAGGCGAGUGGAACUCCUGGUGUAGCGGUGGAAUGCGCAGAUAUCAGGAAGAACACCGACGGCGAAGGCAGCUCGCUGGGACGGUACUGACGCUGAGGCGCGAAAGCGUGGGGAGCGAACAGG
Molecule: ribosomal RNA, 253 nt
Filed under: uncultured bacterium
Lineage: Bacteria
Description: partial 16S ribosomal RNA
Rfam family: Bacterial small subunit ribosomal RNA
Source: RNAcentral